UCUACCAUGUAAUCCAACAAGGAUGAAGACGAGCUCUGUAUCAAUACCUCCCUCAAGACCAUCCAGAACACCCAGGUUCAAGCAAUUCAACCGGGUGCUCCACCUCCUGGAGAAAACGCAGCAGUUGUACCCAAUACCAUGAGUUUGCGCCCUGGAGUCCCUCAAUCAGGAACCACAAACUGCUGGUGACCACCCCCAAUCCACAGAUGCAACCCAUGCCGCCCACAGGAAAGCAGGGGGGACCGAUGUUCCCCUAGACCCACGGUGAGGCAGGAGGAGGAGAGAGCACCAAAGGUUACACUGCAGAAUGAGUUGCAGCUGUGAAAAGCAUCAAGCAAUGUAGGGAUUACUAUGAGAUCCUGGGGGUGAGCAGAGGGGCCUCAGAUGAGGACCUGAAGAAGGCCUACCGCAAACUGGCCCUCAUAGUCCACCCAGAAAAGAACUGCACCUGGUGCUACUGAAGCUUUCAAAACCAUUGGCACAGCAUAUGCAAUACUCAGCAACCCAGAGAAGAGGAAGCACGAAGACCAGUAUGACCAUUUCAGUGAUAACAGGAGCCAGGUAGCCCGGCCCAGCUAUGGGCAUGGGGACUUCCACCAUGGCUUUGAGGCUGACAUCUCCCCUGAAGACCUCUUCAACAUGUUCUUUGGUGGUGGCUUCCCUUCUAGUAAAGUCCACAUCUACAGCAACAGCCACAUGUGCUAUACAUACCAGUAAAGGCGGGACCGCAUGGAGAACCAGGGUGAUGAUGGGCGAGGGGUGUUUGUGCAGCUGAUGCCCAUCCUCAUCCUGAUCCUCGUGUCAGUUCUCAGCCAGUUCAUGGUCUCCAGUUCACCCUUCAGUCUGAGCCUAAGACCGUCUGUGAGCCACAUCACAGGUGAGUCACACCUGAGUGUCAUUUCCUAUGUGGCAGACAAUUUCUCCAAGGAGUACACAGGCUCCAGUCUCAAAGCAGUCAAACCAAAUGUGGAAGAUGAUUACAUCGCCAACCUCUGGAACAACUGCUGGAAGGAGAAGCAGCAGAACGAAGGCUUUCUGUACUGGGACCGCUACUUUGGCGACACAGUUAUGUACCACAAAGCACAGGAGAUGGGCACCCCCUGCUGCAGCCAACUGUCAGAGGUGCAGGCCUCCCUGCAUGGAUAAUCCAGGGCCAGCAACACCACUGAGGUCCAAACUAUGAAAUCCCUGGAGAAUUUUUGGUGACAUGCACUGAGCCAAGGUGAUGGACUGUAUAUUUAAGGAAAAACAUAC
Non-coding RNA from Callithrix jacchus (white-tufted-ear marmoset), 1254 nucleotides. NCBI's taxonomy places the organism in Eukaryota, Metazoa, Chordata, Mammalia, Primates, Cebidae. The record is from RefSeq and is a predicted model, not a curated record.